AAUACUCCAACACGCGCCACCAAUACACUUUCUCUCUCUUCCAUUUUCCCCAAAUCUCUCUUCAAACUCCAGAUUCACCGCCCACCCAAAAAUGACAACCUAUGGAACAAUACCCACAUCCCACUCCCCUUCAAACCAACCCGCAACAAACCUCCACUUCAUCACACGCGCCACCACCAAGAUCCAAUCAACCUACACUACCCACCGCCGUCCAUGGAACCACCUCUUCUCUCUCUCCUCCCUCUCUCUCCCUUCCUCCUUCAACGACGCCUACUUCCGCUUCAAAACCAACCUCUCCUUCUUUCGCAUGAACUACGCCAUCAUCGCACUCUUAAUCCUCUUCCUCUCUCUUCUGUAUCACCCAAUCUCUCUCCUCGUCUUCCUCCUCACCAUGUCGGCAUGGCUAUUCCUCUACUUCCUCCGUGACGCGCCUCUGUUUGUUUUCGGGUAUAAUAUUGAUGAUCGCGUUGUGCUCGCUGUUCUCGCUGUUUUGACGGUGGUUUUCUUGCUUCUUACUGAUGUUACUGUGAAUAUCGUGGUGGCGCUUGGUGUUGCUGUUGUUGUGAUUGUGGUUCAUACGGUGGUGAGAGGGACGGAUGAUCUUCCUGAUACGGCGGUGGGGGGUUUUGAAGAUGAGAGUGGCGCGCGUGUUGCUUACAACCGUGGUGCGGGUGGGUUGGGUGAUCGGCUUCCGUUGAAGGAUACGGCGUCGUCUUCAUUCUCUGCUUCCAAUUGAAAAUUCAGUGCUGUAAUCAGAAACUCAAAGGCUGGGAAGAAGCCCGCGGAGGAGAAGAAAGGCCGUUGUCGCAAAGAAAGCUCCGGCUGAAAAGAAGCCAAAGGCCGGAAAGAAGCUCUGCUGCCGCUAGAGACAAGAAGAAGAGCACAAGAAGAGCGUCGAUACUUACAAGGUCCACAUCUUCAAGGUUCUCAAGCAAGUUCACGCUGACAUUGGAAUUUCCAGCAAGGCGAAGAAUGUCCUGUCCUCGUAUGAUGUCACCACCAAACGUGUAACACUUCCUGCUGGUGAUCUUGCCCAAUAGCAGCCAACUGAUGUGUCUUGUUAACUGUUAAGCUGGAAAGGAUUUAUAUGGGCUUGCCUCAAAUACCAUUGCAUUGAUGGAAUCUUCAAAACAGAUAAAGAAGCCUUAAUUAAUUAAAAUGGUGAAAGAAAUCUUCAAUUCAGCUGUUUCUGCCCGAUGCUUGCCAAAGAUCCAAUCACAUUUUACAUAUGAAUGGCACAACCACCCAUUUUACAUAUUCAGAGUUUACAAAUUUUCUCAUGAUAACUUAAUUGGAUUUAGGGGAUGCAGCUAUGUAUAUCGUGGUCAUCUUAAAGAUGGUAGAACAGUAACUGUGAAACGACUUAAAGCUUCUAAGGGACUAGCUUCUGACAGAAUUCUGUAAGGGGGUAUAAGCAAACCUGCUUUUGCAAUCUUCCCAAUCCCUGAUCUAUUGUGGGAAGCCUUACAUAUUAGUAAUAAUUUAACAGCAAUUUAAAAACAAAA
RNA transcript from Spinacia oleracea (spinach), 1505 nucleotides. It is a transcript of the gene named PRA1 family protein F2, with no coding region annotated. The record is from RefSeq and is a predicted model, not a curated record. NCBI's taxonomy places the organism in Eukaryota, Viridiplantae, Streptophyta, Magnoliopsida, Caryophyllales, Amaranthaceae. The transcript is spliced from 3 exons.